Molecule: non-coding RNA, 29 nt
Filed under: Cricetulus griseus (Chinese hamster)
Lineage: Eukaryota; Metazoa; Chordata; Mammalia; Rodentia; Cricetidae
Source: RNAcentral
AGCGUAUGCGAGAGUAAUUGGAGUUCAUG